Molecule: ribosomal RNA, 253 nt
Filed under: uncultured bacterium
Lineage: Bacteria
Description: partial 16S ribosomal RNA
Rfam family: Bacterial small subunit ribosomal RNA
Source: RNAcentral
UACGGGGGGGGCAAGCGUUGUUCGGAAUUACUGGGCGUAAAGGGCUCGUAGGUGGCCAACUAAGUCGGACGUGAAAUCCCUCGGCUUAACCGGGGAACUGCGUCUGAUACUGGAUGGCUUGAGAUUGGGAGAGGGAUGCGGAAUUCCAGGUGUAGCGGUGAAAUGCGUAGAUAUCUGGAGGAACACCGGUGGCGAAGGCGGCAUCCUGGACCAACACUGACGCUGAGGAGCGAAAGCCAGGGGAGCAAACGGG